AGUGAACGCUGGCGGUAGGCCUAACACAUGCAAGUCGAACGGCAGCACAGUAAGAGCUUGCUCUUACGGGUGGCGAGUGGCGGACGGGUGAGGAAUACAUCGGAAUCUACUUUUUCGUGGGGGAUAACGUAGGGGAAGCUAACCCUAUAACGGAAAUCGCCCUCCGGGGAAAGGAAUGGAACGUUGGGACUUUUGGGGAUGGAAUCGCCGAUGUUGGAUUAGCUAGUUGGCGGGGUAAAGGCCCAGCAAGUGGACGAUCCGUAGCUGGUCUGAGAGGAUGAUCAGCCACACUGGAACUGAGACACGGUCCAGACUCCUACGGGAGGCAGCAGUGGGGAAUAUUGGACAAUGGGCGCAAGCCUGAUACAGCCAUACCGCGUGGGUGAAGAAGGCCUUCGGGUUGUAAAGCCCUUUUGUUGGGAAAGAAAAGCAGCAGGUUAAUACCCCGCUGUUCUGACGGUACCCAAAGAAUAAGCACCGGCUAACUUCGUG
RNAcentral lists this ribosomal RNA (492 nucleotides) under uncultured bacterium. Its description in RNAcentral is "partial 16S ribosomal RNA". It matches the Rfam family "Bacterial small subunit ribosomal RNA", at positions 29 to 507 of the family's 1533-position model. The record is from RNAcentral.